Molecule: ribosomal RNA, 253 nt
Filed under: uncultured bacterium
Lineage: Bacteria
Description: partial 16S ribosomal RNA
Rfam family: Bacterial small subunit ribosomal RNA
Source: RNAcentral
UACGUAGGGGGCAAGCGUUGUCCGGAAUCAUUGGGCGUAAAGCGCGUGUAGGCGGCCCGGUAAGUCCGCUGUGAAAGUCGGGGGCUCAACCCUCGGAUGCCGGUGGAUACUGUCGGGCUCGAGUACGGAAGAGGCAAGUGGAAUUCCUGGUGUAGCGGUGAAAUGCGCAGAUAUCAGGAGGAACACCGAUUGCGAAGGCAGCUCGCUGGGACGUGACUGACGCUGAGACGCGAAAGCGUGGGGAGCAAACAGG